Molecule: transfer RNA, 74 nt
Filed under: Marinobacterium aestuarii
Lineage: Bacteria; Pseudomonadati; Pseudomonadota; Gammaproteobacteria; Oceanospirillales; Oceanospirillaceae
Description: Marinobacterium sp. ST58-10 tRNA
Rfam family: tRNA
About the family: Transfer RNA (tRNA) molecules are approximately 80 nucleotides in length.
Source: Rfam by way of RNAcentral
CGGGGCGUAGCGCAGCCUGGUAGCGCACUUGCAUGGGGUGCAAGGGGUCGAAGGUUCAAAUCCUUUCGUCCCGA